AACAUGUCCAGGUCGUUUCCCGUAGAUAACCCCGAGAGGAUUGUUUUGUAAAAUAUACAAGCCGUAAACAUUAUUGAAGCAUUGUAGAAGCCCAGGGAUGAUUUAAACAAUUUUAAGUCACCCAUUUCUUUAUGCCCGGGACACCCGAUCAACCAAAGGAAACUUGAACUGUCGAAGGUCACAAACAUGCGAGAUUGCAGACCCACGUUGCCUCGAUCGCCUGAUGUCAUGUCGGGUCACUGUGCAGUGAGAUUGUACAUAUGAAGGUAGACUGAAGGCCAGACUUAGGCAGGAUGAUUGAACAAAAUCUGCUUGCAGAUGGACUACUGAGCAAAAAAAUUGGACUCUCAGGAGGUGAACAGAUGUUCAGCAAGAAAUUCGCACAUCAAAUGCUGUGAAUUAAACUGAUAUCCCCCCCCCCCAAAAAAAAAAAGAACAGAGAGACCAAUCAUUAACAGCUUGAGACUUGGUGCACAUAACCUUGCCACAGAAAAGGGGAUUUACCUAUAAGCACUCCCUA
This is a long non-coding RNA of Saccostrea cuccullata (small rock oyster), 520 nucleotides long. RefSeq lists it as uncharacterized. Lineage: Eukaryota; Metazoa; Mollusca; Bivalvia; Ostreida; Ostreidae. The transcript is spliced from 4 exons. The record is from RefSeq and is a predicted model, not a curated record.